GACGAACGCUGGCGGCGUGCUUAACACAUGCAAGUCGAACGGAAAGGCCCUGCUUUUGUGGGGUGCUCGAGUGGCGAACGGGUGAGUAACACGUGAGUAACCUGCCCUUGACUUUGGGAUAACUUCAGGAAACUGGGGCUAAUACCGGAUAGGAGCUCCUGCUGCAUGGUGGGGGUUGGAAAGUUUCGGCGGUUGGGGAUGGACUCGCGGCUUAUCAGCUUGUUGGUGGGGUAGUGGCUUACCAAGGCUUUGACGGGUAGCCGGCCUGAGAGGGUGACCGGCCACAAUGGGACUGAGAUACGGCCCAGACUCCUACGGGAGGCAGCAGUGGGGAAUAUUGCACAAUGGGCGGAAGCGUGAUGCAGCAACGCCGCGUGCGGGAUGACGGCCUUCGGGGUGUAAACCGCUUUCGCCUGUGACGAAGCGUGAGUGACGGUAAUGGGUAAAGAAGCACCGGCUAACUACGUG
This 468-nucleotide ribosomal RNA is filed under the name uncultured bacterium. RNAcentral describes it as "partial 16S ribosomal RNA". It matches the Rfam family "Bacterial small subunit ribosomal RNA", at positions 28 to 507 of the family's 1533-position model. The record is from RNAcentral.